AAUUAGCUAAACAAAGAAAUCAUGGCGGAUUGUUUACAUUUGGCAGCGCCCGGGCUGCGCCGACCGCCGGCCCCGAGCCGCCGCGGGCUCCGAGGAGUCGGCCGAGCUGCUCCCGCGCCCUGGCCGGACGUUUGAAACUAUUGCUUUGCUGAAAACAUCUGACUGCCAGGCUAGGAUGUGACACUUAAGGGACUUACCAAUUUGGGAUUCUUCCAGGAGCUGAAAACUGAUUACAAAUAUGAAACAGAUUUCACUACAGGACUUGAACCCUACAUUAAAAAACAACAAGCUCCCCAAAAUAAUUGAAAAAGAUCUUCACCAAAGAGUAGCUGCAAUGUGAAUGGCAGGAUAUGAAGCAAGUAAGAGAUGGUGAAAAGAUUAUCUUAAGCUUGGAAUUAAGUGAUGAAAGGGACCUUCGAAAUUAUCAACUCUAAAUACUUCUUUACAGGAAAAUUGAAAGCAGUUAAGAACCUGCCCCCUACCGUGGAGUUCUUGGUGCCGUGAGUUGGAGUUCUUGGUGCCUGGGUGCGUCCCCAAGG
This 539-nucleotide long non-coding RNA is filed under the name Pan troglodytes (chimpanzee). RNAcentral describes it as "lincRNA". Lineage: Eukaryota; Metazoa; Chordata; Mammalia; Primates; Hominidae. The record is from RNAcentral.